RNAcentral lists this transfer RNA (70 nucleotides) under Polinices sagamiensis. RNAcentral's name for it is "tRNA-Tyr". It matches the Rfam family "tRNA". Rfam says of the family: Transfer RNA (tRNA) molecules are approximately 80 nucleotides in length. Their secondary structure includes four short double-helical elements and three loops (D, anti-codon, and T loops). Further hydrogen bonds mediate the characteristic L-shaped molecular structure. tRNAs have two regions of fundamental functional importance: the anti-codon, which is responsible for specific mRNA codon recognition, and the 3' end, to which the tRNAs corresponding amino acid is attached (by aminoacyl-tRNA synthetases). tRNAs cope with the degeneracy of the genetic code in two manners: having more than one tRNA (with a specific anti-codon) for a particular amino acid; and 'wobble' base-pairing, i.e. permitting non-standard base-pairing at the 3rd anti-codon position. The record is from RNAcentral. Lineage: Eukaryota; Metazoa; Mollusca; Gastropoda; Littorinimorpha; Naticidae.
UUUGUUUGAUGGCUGAGAUAAAAGCGAUAGACUGUAGAUCUAUUAACGGAAUUAAAUUUCCUCAACAAAA